Molecule: ribosomal RNA, 331 nt
Filed under: uncultured bacterium
Lineage: Bacteria
Description: bacterial SSU rRNA
Rfam family: Bacterial small subunit ribosomal RNA
Source: RNAcentral
UGUGUAGGCGGUUGCUUAAGUUUGGUGUGAAAUCUCCCGGCUCAACUGGGAGGGUGCGCCGAAUACUGAGUGACUAGAGUGCGGGAGAGGAGAGUGGAAUUCCUGGUGUAGCGGUGAAAUGCGUAGAUAUCAGGAGGAACACCGGUGGUGUAGACGGCUCUCUGGACCGUAACUGGCGCUGAGACACGAAAGCGUGGGUAGCAAACAGGAUUAGAUACCCUGGUAGUCCACGCCCUAAACGAUGCAUAUUUGGUGUGGGCAGUUCAGUCUGUCCGUGCCGGAGCUAACGCGUUAAAUAUGCCGCCUGGGGAGUACAGUCGCAAGGCUAGAA